GAUGAAGAACGUAGCGAAAUGCGAUAAGUAAUGUGAAUUGCAGAAUUCAGUGAAUCAUCGAAUCUUUGAACGCACAUUGCGCCCCCUGGUAUUCCGGGGGGCAUGCCUGUCCGAGCGUCAUUACAACCCUCAAGCUCAGCUUGGUGUUGGGCCCCGCCGCCCCGGCGGGCCCUAAAGUCAGUGGCGGUGCCGUCCGGCUCCGAGCGUAGUAAUUCUUCUCGCUCUGGAGGUACGGUCGUGUGCUCGCCAGCAACCCCCAAUUUUUUUCAGGUUGACCUCGGAUCAGGUAGGGAUACCCGCUGAACUUAAGCAUAUCAAUAAGCGGAGGA
This 329-nucleotide unclassified non-coding RNA is filed under the name soil metagenome. RNAcentral's name for it is "partial contains 5.8S ribosomal RNA, internal transcribed spacer 2, and large subunit ribosomal RNA". The stretch from base 1 to 120 matches the Rfam family "5.8S ribosomal RNA", at positions 35 to 154 of the family's 154-position model. The record is from RNAcentral.